Molecule: ribosomal RNA, 309 nt
Filed under: uncultured bacterium
Lineage: Bacteria
Description: partial 16S ribosomal RNA
Rfam family: Bacterial small subunit ribosomal RNA
Source: RNAcentral
AGAGACAGCAGUAGCCACGGUAAUACGUAGGUGGCGAGCGUUGUCCGGAAUUAUUGGGCGUAAAGGGAGCGCAGGCGGGCGAGUAAGUCUUUCUUAAAAGUGCGGGGCUCAACCCCGUGAGGGGAGAGAAACUACUCAUCUUGAGUGCAGGAGAGGAAAGCGGAAUUCCUAGUGUAGCGGUGAAAUGCGUAGAUAUUAGGAAGAACACCAGUGGCGAAGGCGGCUUUCUGGACUGUAACUGACGCUGAGGCUCGAAAGCCAGGGGAGCGAACGGGAUUAGAUACCCCCGUAGUCCCUGUCUCUUAUACA